This 1829-nucleotide long non-coding RNA is filed under the name Ananas comosus (pineapple). RNAcentral's name for it is "long non-coding RNA (ACOM_LNC007683)". Lineage: Eukaryota; Viridiplantae; Streptophyta; Magnoliopsida; Poales; Bromeliaceae. The record is from RNAcentral.
AUAAAAAAGCUCCUUUAUAAAUAUUUGUUUUUUAAUUUUUUUCUUUUCUAAUUUUUAAAAAUUUAUAUUUUACUCUUUCAAUAUUUCAAAUGAAUAUACUUAAUCUCCCUCCGUCAGAAUUCUAUUACUAUUUUAUCUAUUUCUUAUAAUUUAUAGCCCUUCAAAAUUUCAAAUAUAUGUUGAAAAAUUAAUUUUUUUCUUAUAAAAAAAAGUAAGUGUAAUUUGAUCAUUUUGCCCUUUUCAUUAAUGUUACACCUAUUGAAAAUAUUUUUAAAAUUUUAAGAAGGCAAAAUAUAGAUUUUUAAAAGGUAAGAAAAAAAGAAAUAAAAUGACUGAUAUUUACGGAGAGAUUUUCUAUUAUUUAUCCAAAAUUAAUAUCCAUGCGGAAUGAGAAUCCCCUGCCUCCUUAUAGGAUCUAGGUAGGUACAAUUUGUAUAACGAUUUUUUAGUUGAUGCACACUUUUAAGUACUCCUAGUUCUAAUUUUCCUUUAGGGGGCGUUUGGAUUGACGAAUUUGUAGAUCCAACAUCAGUUAAGUGCAGUGGUGUUUGAGUUUUCCUGAAGUGUGAUUAUUUUUUUGUUGUUUGUUUUGACGUAACUCGUACAGUCUGAAAGUUAAAUUCAAUUACUUCUGCUGUUUGUUUUGAUGUAACUUGGUGUUAGUAAAAUUAGUUUUUUGAGUUUUGUUGUUUGUUUUGAUGUAAGUAAGUGGAUCCCGUUAUCUUAUAAAUAUAGUGGUAAAUUUACCGCUAUAAAAUUUAACCUAUUAUAUAAUUAAAUUUUUUAUUAUUAUUUAAAGGUAAUCCUAAUUUAUUAUAAAUAAGGUAAUUCUAACCCAUUAUAAAGGAAGUAGAGUUUAGAUUUUACUGUUUAAUAAGUUUUUUAGAGGAGGUUGAGUGCGGUGGAAGUCGAGUUCGACACUUUAUAGGAGGAAGUCGAGAGUAAAUGAAGUGGAGGUUUAAGGUAACUUGAGUUACAUUAUAUUUUUGACUUACACUAAAACAAAUAACGAAAGUUAUGGAACUUGAGUUCCAUCACUCCACUUACACCAAAACGAACGGGCAUUGUUUGUUUUGUUGCUUCCACAUCUUUGGCUGGGAACUUAUGAUAUCUGUUGGUUUCUUAGUUGCAGCAGGGUAUUAUUCUAUCUCUAUUGGGGGUAAGCUUCAAAUAUCAUUCACGUGGUUUCCUACUUUCUCAAUUUAGUAUUCUGUGGUUUAAAGUGUAUCAAGUUAGUAGUUUACGAUUUCAUUUUUCUCUUUUCAUCAGCUCAUCCGUUAAUAUUUCGUUAAAUUACAUAUAAAAAAUUUUAGAUACCCCACAUAGAUUUAUCGAAUAUUCACUUUAGUAUCCUUUAGUUUUAACUUUGUUACUGAUGUAACGAAAAAAAAAUUUGUGAAAUGGAUGAUAAAAAGAGAAAAAUGAAAUCAUAGGUUACUAAAUUGAUACAUUUUAAACUAUAGGGUACUAAAGUGAAAAGUGCGAAACCACAAGCAUGGUACUUGAAGUUUUUCCUUAUUGUUAGGUAAAAAUGUGUAGAACUUAUCUGUAAUACACUGGACUUUCGCAAAUUGCGAAGUUCGAGUGUGUGGAAUGGUGUGUGGAUCACUCCUACAUGUUCUAAAAGGUUAGAACAAGUUUUUGGAUAAGUUAGAGGAUGAUUGGAAUGCUAAAAGCAAGAAAGUGUAUUGAUUGGGCGAAAUCAGCCUUUUCUGCUUGGUGUACCGGUACAGCCAUUAUGGUGUACCGGUACACAAUGCAGAAACGUGGCAGCUUGGGCUUUUUCGUAAUUUCACAUUUGACACCUACCUAUUUGAUCCCAGCACGAC